AGUGAACGCUGGCGGUAGGCCUAACACAUGCAAGUCGAACGGCAGCACAGUAAGAGCUUGCUCUUACGGGUGGCGAGUGGCGGACGGGUGAGGAAUACAUCGGAAUCUACUUUUUCGUGGGGGAUAACGUAGGGACACUUACGCUAAUACCGCAUACGACCUACGGGUGAAAGCAGGGGAUCUUCGGACCUUGCGCGAUUGAAUGAGCCGAUGUCGGAUUAGCUAGUUGGCGGGGUAAAGGCCUACCAAGGCGACGAUCCGUAGCUGGUCUGAGAGGAUGAUCAGCCACACUGGAACUGAGACACGGUCCAGACUCCUACGGGAGGCAGCAGUGGGGAAUAUUGGACAAUGGGCGAAAGCCUGAUCCAGCCAUACCGCGUGGGUGAAGAAGGCCUUCGGGUUGUAAAGCCCUUUUGUUGGGAAAGAAAAGCAGCAGGUUAAUACCCCGCUGUUCUGACGGUACCCAAAGAAUAAGCACCGGCUAACUUCGUG
Molecule: ribosomal RNA, 492 nt
Filed under: uncultured bacterium
Lineage: Bacteria
Description: partial 16S ribosomal RNA
Rfam family: Bacterial small subunit ribosomal RNA
Source: RNAcentral